GGCUGGCUGGGCAUGGUGGUGUUCACAGCUAAUCAUCAGUUACAGAUUCCUUGGUUCCUUCCCCACUCCCACUGCUUCACUUGACUAGCCUGAA
Unclassified non-coding RNA from Gorilla gorilla gorilla (western lowland gorilla), 94 nucleotides. It matches the Rfam family "Y RNA". From Rfam's summary of the family: Y RNAs are components of the Ro ribonucleoprotein particle (Ro RNP), in association with Ro60 and La proteins. The record is from Ensembl. Lineage: Eukaryota; Metazoa; Chordata; Mammalia; Primates; Hominidae.